This 968-nucleotide long non-coding RNA is filed under the name Vulpes vulpes (red fox). RNAcentral describes it as "lncRNA (ENSVVUG00000009975.1)". Lineage: Eukaryota; Metazoa; Chordata; Mammalia; Carnivora; Canidae. The record is from RNAcentral.
UCUUUUUUUUAGGGGGAGGUAGCAGAGGGAGAGGGACAGAGAGAGUCUGAAGAAGGUUCCACGUCCAGCAUGGAGCCUGACUACAGGCUCAAUUUCACAAUCUUGAGAUCAUGACCUAAGCCAAAAUCAAAAGUUGGACAUUUAAAACAAAACAAAACAAAACAAAACAAAAGUUGGACAUUUAACCAACUGAGCAACCAACUAUACCCUCUUUCUUUUGUUUGCUGUCCUUUGCUCUGUUGUAUACUCAGCUACAAUUUUAUCAUUUCCUGUUUUCUCACUUCUGGGAAUCCCAGACAUCCUUCUAGAACUUCCUGUGCCAUCAAUACUGAACAUGUGACAUUCUAGGCAACUUCACUCCUGACAUCUUUUUAUGAGAACAAUGUUUUUGAAGAUUCUAAGCUCUGGAAGAAUAAGCGUGGAUUAUGACAAAAAUUUCUCAGGGUGCUGGCAGGUGGCCCAAUGCCACGCAUCUGGAAACCUACCCUGGACAUGUGGUGUUUCCUCCACUUACAGAGACCUGAGGGUGAGGAAAGAGAAAGUUUCCCAUUUCAAAGCUACAGAUCUUCCUUCUUUGAUACCCAAGCCUGAGUCCCAGAUCUCAUUGUCCUUUCUUUGUUUCAGCAGAAGCUUAAAAGAGUCUUUUGAUAUACAAAGGCAGGCCCAAUACAAGUGCAAAAUGAAAAGCCCAAUUUCUCUGCAUAAUAAAGUAAAGAGAAUUGAUGGUCACCUGAAAUAAGGUAAAAGUGGUAUUAAGAGGGUAACUGAAACAGGAGUGGAAGGGGCAGAAAUGACCACGGAACAUGUAAGUCCCAGAGGAACUGGAUAAUAGAACCAAUUUGAUUUAAAUUGCAAAAAAGCGAGGUGACCUUAGCUACCAUUUGGGUUAUGCAAUUCACCUCUCUUAACAGAACAUGCAGGCUGAGCACAACUUUCUCUCCACAGAAUAAACGUUGGGAACUGAGUCA